This 754-nucleotide ribosomal RNA is filed under the name uncultured archaeon. Its description in RNAcentral is "bacterial SSU rRNA". It matches the Rfam family "Archaeal small subunit ribosomal RNA", at positions 102 to 859 of the family's 1478-position model. The record is from RNAcentral.
AGUCAACAUGCCCAGGGGACGUGGAUAACCUCGGGAAACUGAGGAUAAACCACGAUAGGCCAAGGCUUCUGGAAUGAGCCAUGGCCGAAAUCUAUAUGGCCUUUGGAUUGGACUGCGGCCGAUCAGGCUGUUGGUGAGGUAAUGGCCCACCAAACCUGUAACCGGUACGGGCUUUGAGAGAAGUAGCCCGGAGAUGGGCACUGAGACAAGGGCCCAGGCCCUAUGGGGCGCAGCAGGCGCGAAACCUCUGCAAUAGGCGAAAGCCUGACAGGGUUACUCUGAGUGAUGCCCGCUAAGGGUAUCUUUUGGCACCUCUAAAAAUGGUGCAGAAUAAGGGGUGGGCAAGUCUGGUGUCAGCCGCCGCGGUAAUACCAGCACCCCGAGUUGUCGGGACGAUUAUUGGGCCUAAAGCAUCCGUAGCCUGUUCUACAAGUCCUCCGUUAAAUCCACCUGCUCAACAGAUGGGCUGCGGGGGAUACUAUAGGGCUAGGAGGCGGGAGAGGCAAACGGUACUCAGUGGGUAGGGGUAAAAUCCAUUGAUCUACUGAAGACCACCAGUGGCGAAGGCGGUUUGCCAGAACGCGCUCGACGGUGAGGGAUGAAAGCUGGGGGAGCAAACCGGAUUAGAUACCCGGGUAGUCCCAGCUGUAAACGAUGCAGACUCGGUGAUGGGUUGGCUUCGCGCCAACCCAGUGCCGCAGGGAAGCCGUUAAGUCUGCCGCCUGGGGAGUACGGUCGCAAGACUGAAACUUAA